CGGAACUUCCUCGGCCGGAACAGCAACUUCCCAAGACUCAUUCGGAUGUCCAUACAAACACAAAUUGUCUCUCUCUGGAUCGCACUGUGAGUAAAAAUCCUCCACAUCUGUAGUGAGGGCACGGAGGACGGCGGCGUGACGGGCGGAGAAGUCUUUGAAGAUCUCCUCGACGGUGCGAGGGCUAUGGGAGGAAGAGUUGGUAGCCAUGCGUUAGUCAAUUACAAGUCACACCUAUUUCUGGGUGUAGGACAAAUAAGUACACUGCAGACUCCCUGAAGAAAUUCG
This 285-nucleotide unclassified non-coding RNA is filed under the name Hevea brasiliensis (rubber tree). The record is from RNAcentral. Lineage: Eukaryota; Viridiplantae; Streptophyta; Magnoliopsida; Malpighiales; Euphorbiaceae.